UCGUAAGGACAUGUGGAGCGCUUAGAAGUGAGAAUGCCGGUGUGAGUAGCGAAAGACGGGUGAGAAUCCCGUCCACCGAUUGACUAAGGUUUCCAGAGGAAGGCUCGUCCGCUCUGGGUUAGUCGGGUCCUAAGCUGAGGCCGACAGGCGUAGGCGAUGGAUAACAGGUUGAUAUUCCUGUACCACCUAUAAUCGUUUUAAUCGAUGGGGG
Molecule: ribosomal RNA, 211 nt
Filed under: Staphylococcus aureus
Lineage: Bacteria; Bacillati; Bacillota; Bacilli; Caryophanales; Staphylococcaceae
Description: partial 23S ribosomal RNA
Rfam family: Bacterial large subunit ribosomal RNA
Source: RNAcentral